CAUUUAGAGCACAACCAAUAUUACAUUGCUUGCCACAGCCAUGGCUUAAGUGGGGAUGUUUCACCACACAAAAUGCAACGUGUAGAUGGCUCGCUACAAGGAAACCUGGUGUAAAGGUAUAACAAUAUGCAACUUCAAAAAUACAAGAACCACACAACUGCUUAAUUUACAGAAGCUGACAUUCUUCCAAUAAACCUAUUGAUAGCAUCAAUCUAUGGCUAUUCUGACAAGCCUACCUCAGUUAUAUCCUUUAUGAGGAGCAUCACGUCACAGGUUUAAAGGAGGCUUCAACUCUUUUCUUGCAGU
This 306-nucleotide unclassified non-coding RNA is filed under the name Hevea brasiliensis (rubber tree). Lineage: Eukaryota; Viridiplantae; Streptophyta; Magnoliopsida; Malpighiales; Euphorbiaceae. The record is from RNAcentral.